AGGAAAAGAAACCAACUGGGAUUGCCUUAGUAACGGCGAGUGAAGCGGCAAAAGCUCAAAUUUGAAAUCUGGUACCUUUGGUGCCCGAGUUGUAAUUUGGAGAGUACCACUUUGGGACUGUACUUUGCCUAUGUUCCUUGGAACAGGACGUCAUGGAGGGUGAGAAUCCCGUGUGGCGAGGGUGUCAGUUCUUUGUAAAGGGUGCUCGAAGAGUCGAGUUGUUUGGGAAUGCAGCUCUAAGUGGGUGGUAAAUUCCAUCUAAAGCUAAAUACAGGCGAGAGACCGAUAGCGAACAAGUACAGUGAUGGAAAGAUGAAAAGAACUUUGAAAAGAGAGUGAAAAAGUACGUGAAAUUGUUGAAAGGGAAGGGCAUUUGAUCAGACAUGGUGUUUUGCGCCCCUUGCCUCUCGUGGGCUUGGGACUCUCGCAGCUCACUGGGCCAGCAUCGGUUUUGGCGGCCGGAAAAAACCUAGGGAAUGUGGCUCUGCGCCUCGGUGUAGAGUGUUAUAGCCCUGGGGAAUACGGCCAGCCGGGACCGGAGGACUGCGAUACUUGUAUCUA
Molecule: ribosomal RNA, 561 nt
Filed under: Nakaseomyces glabratus
Lineage: Eukaryota; Fungi; Ascomycota; Saccharomycetes; Saccharomycetales; Saccharomycetaceae
Description: [Candida] glabrata partial large subunit ribosomal RNA
Rfam family: Eukaryotic large subunit ribosomal RNA
Source: RNAcentral